UACGGAAGGCAGCAGUGGGGAAUAUUGCACAAUGGGCGAAAGCCUGAUGCAGCUAUGCCGCGUGUAUGAAGAAGGCCUUAGGGUUGUAAAGUACUUUCAUCGGGGAGGAAAAAACAAAACUAAUAAUUUUAUUUCUUGACGUUACCCGAAAAAGAAGCACCGGCUAACUCCGUGCCAGCAGCCGCGGUAAUACGGAGGGUGCUAGCGUUAAUCAGAAUUACUGGGCGUAAAGAGCACGUAGGUGGUUUUUUUAAAGUCAGAUGUGAAAUCCCUGGGCUUAACCUGGAACUGCAUUUUGAAACUGAAAUACUAGAGUAUCGUAGAGGGAGGUAGAAUUCUAGGUGUAGCGGUGAAAUGCGUAGAUAUCUGGAGGAAUACCUGUGGCGAAAGCGGCCUCCUAAACGAAUACUGACACUGAGGUGCGAAAGCGUGGGGAGCAAACAGGGAUUAGGAUACC
This 457-nucleotide ribosomal RNA is filed under the name uncultured bacterium. Its description in RNAcentral is "bacterial SSU rRNA". It matches the Rfam family "Bacterial small subunit ribosomal RNA", at positions 340 to 786 of the family's 1533-position model. The record is from RNAcentral.